Molecule: ribosomal RNA, 121 nt
Organism: Ochotona princeps (American pika)
Lineage: Eukaryota; Metazoa; Chordata; Mammalia; Lagomorpha; Ochotonidae
Source: Ensembl
GUCUACGGCCAUACCACCCUGAACGAGCCUGAUCUCGUCUGAUCUCGGAAGCUAAGCAGGGUCGGGCCUGGUUAAUACUUGGAUGGGAGACCAUGACAGAGGACAGAAAAAAUUGAUGAAC